GGGGGGGCGGGGAUGAAAUUUGAAAAAAAUAGGCAGGACAGGAGUUUUGAGUAAAAAAAAAAGGCAGGAUGACAAUUUGUGUAAAAAAAGUCAGGAUAAACUAGUAAAAAAAAAAGGCAGGACCGAAUAGAGUAAAAAAUAAAAAGGCAGGACAGAGAUUACAACUAAAAAAAAAAGCAGGACAAAAUUUUUCAUCCUAGCCCCCCCAUAAAAUCAAA
RNAcentral lists this long non-coding RNA (218 nucleotides) under Mytilus galloprovincialis (Mediterranean mussel). Lineage: Eukaryota; Metazoa; Mollusca; Bivalvia; Mytilida; Mytilidae. The record is from RNAcentral.